GUGAAUGGUGGCAUAAUGAACAGCUAGUGGCCAGAGUGAACAGUAAGCAGCUGGAGGAAGGAGCAAGGUGCCUUCUUGCCCCCCACAUGAAAGCACCUCUGAACUCUGAGUCUCCACUAACCAAGUGAAAACCUGGCUACGCCACUGCCUAAGAGAGGUGACAACUGAGGAGCUGGGAGCCUAAAGGAAGGAUCACAGAAAGGGAAUUAAGAUAAGCCACGCUGUUCCCUUGUGGAGUGCAGAAGCCAACGGAGGAGAUGAAUCAGAAGGAAAAGGGAGAGGAAAACAAGCAGCCCUGGUGCAAAGCCAUGCACUAAAAUUAUUCUGAGAGACCUUAAUUUUAGAAGUUUUCUAAAUGGGAGAGCAUACAGCGGCUGGCUCUCACUUACGGUUUACAAAGAAGUUUACUUGUGUGGUUCUUUAUUACCUUGCAGUUAUU
Long non-coding RNA from Mauremys reevesii (Reeves's turtle), 439 nucleotides. RefSeq lists it as uncharacterized. The transcript is spliced from 3 exons. NCBI's taxonomy places the organism in Eukaryota, Metazoa, Chordata, Testudines, Geoemydidae. The record is from RefSeq and is a predicted model, not a curated record.